ACCUGGAUAGCUCGGUUGGUUAGAGUGUGGCGCUGGUAACACCAAGGUUGCAGGUUCUAUCCCCGUAAGGGA
This 72-nucleotide transfer RNA is filed under the name Podarcis lilfordi (Lilford's wall lizard). Its description in RNAcentral is "tRNA.Thr". Lineage: Eukaryota; Metazoa; Chordata; Lepidosauria; Squamata; Lacertidae. The record is from RNAcentral.